RNAcentral lists this ribosomal RNA (1133 nucleotides) under Salmonella enterica subsp. enterica. Its description in RNAcentral is "partial 23S ribosomal RNA". It matches the Rfam family "Bacterial large subunit ribosomal RNA", at positions 711 to 1757 of the family's 2925-position model. The record is from RNAcentral. Lineage: Bacteria; Pseudomonadati; Pseudomonadota; Gammaproteobacteria; Enterobacterales; Enterobacteriaceae.
AGACCCGAAACCCGGUGAUCUAGCCAUGGGCAGGUUGAAGGUUGGGUAACACUAACUGGAGGACCGAACCGACUAAUGUUGAAAAAUUAGCGGAUGACCUGUGGCUGGGGGUGAAAGGCCAAUCAAACCGGGAGAUAGCUGGUUCUCCCCGAAAGCUAUUUAGGUAGCGCCUCGUGAAUUCAUCUCCGGGGGUAGAGCACUGUUUCGGCUAGGGGGCCAUCCCGGCUUACCAACCCGAUGCAAACUGCGAAUACCGGAGAAUGUUAUCACGGGAGACACACGGCGGGUGCUAACGUCCGUCGUGAAGAGGGAAACAACCCAGACCGCCAGCUAAGGUCCCAAAGUCAUGGUUAAGUGGGAAACGAUGUGGGAAGGCCCAGACAGCCAGGAUGUUGGCUUAGAAGCAGCCAUCAUUUAAAGAAAGCGUAAUAGCUCACUGGUCGAGUCGGCCUGCGCGGAAGAUGUAACGGGGCUAAACCAUGCACCGAAGCUGCGGCAGCGAACGUAUCACCCAAGACAACUUUGCGGAGUUGACGAUUGACGGAGCGAAGCGACGUCAAAGCGUUCAUUAAAGUCGAGUUGGCUUAGGGAUACGUUCGUUGGGUAGGGGAGCGUUCUGUAAGCCAGUGAAGGUGUGUCGUGAGGCAUGCUGGAGGUAUCAGAAGUGCGAAUGCUGACAUAAGUAACGAUAAAGCGGGUGAAAAGCCCGCUCGCCGGAAGACCAAGGGUUCCUGUCCAACGUUAAUCGGGGCAGGGUGAGUCGACCCCUAAGGCGAGGCCGAAAGGCGUAGUCGAUGGGAAACGGGUUAAUAUUCCCGUACUUGGUGUUACUGCGAAGGGGGGACGGAGAAGGCUAUGUUGGCCGGGCGACGGUUGUCCCGGUUUAAGCGUGUAGGUGUGUGUUCCAGGUAAAUCCGGUUCACUUUAACACUGAGGCGUGAUGACGAGGCACUACGGUGCUGAAGCAACAAAUGCCCUGCUUCCAGGAAAAGCCUCUAAGCAUCAGGUAACAUCAAAUCGUACCCCAAACCGACACAGGUGGUCAGGUAGAGAAUACCAAGGCGCUUGAGAGAACUCGGGUGAAGGAACUAGGCAAAAUGGUGCCGUAACUUCGGGAGAAGGCACGCUGACAC